Molecule: unclassified non-coding RNA, 329 nt
Filed under: soil metagenome
Description: partial contains 5.8S ribosomal RNA, internal transcribed spacer 2, and large subunit ribosomal RNA
Rfam family: 5.8S ribosomal RNA (bases 1-120)
Source: RNAcentral
GAUGAAGAACGCAGCGAAAUGCGAUAAGUAGUGUGAAUUGCAGAAUUCAGUGAAUCAUCGAAUCUUUGAACGCACAUUGCGCCCCUUGGUAUCCCGAGGGGCAUGCCUGUUCGAGCGUCAUUUCACCACUCAAGCCUGGCUUGGUGUUGGGCGACGUCCUCUUUGGGGACGCGCCUCGAAACGCUCGGCGGCGUGGCACCGGCUUUAAGCGUAGCAGAAUCUUUCGCUUUGGAAGUCGGGGCCCCGUCUGCCGGAAGACCUGCUCGCAAGGUUGACCUCGGAUCAGGCAGGGAUACCCGCUGAACUUAAGCAUAUCAAUAAGCGGCGGA